UACGUAGGUGGCAAGCGUUAUCCGGAAUUAUUGGGCGUAAAGCGCGCGCAGGCGGUUUCUUAAGUCUGCUGUGAAAGCCCACGGCUCAACCGUGGAGGGUCAUUGGAAACUGGGGAACUUGAGUGCAGAAGAGAAAAGCGGAAUUCCACGUGUAGCGGUGAAAUGCGUAGAGAUGUGGAGGAACACCAGUGGCGAAGGCGGCUUUUUGGUCUGUAACUGACGCUGAGGCGCGAAAGCGUGGGGAGCAAACAGG
Molecule: ribosomal RNA, 253 nt
Filed under: uncultured bacterium
Lineage: Bacteria
Description: partial 16S ribosomal RNA
Rfam family: Bacterial small subunit ribosomal RNA
Source: RNAcentral